AGAGGCCCCAAGCGUUAUCCGGGAUUUACUGGGGCGUAAAGCGUCCGCAGGCGGUUAUGAUAGUCUUGUGUUAAAUUUCGGGAGCUCAACUUCGAAACUGCGCAGGAAACGUUAUAACUAGAGGGCAUGAGAGGCAAAUGGAACUCAUGGUGUAAGAGUGGAAUCUGUUGAUAUCAUGAGGAACACCAAAGGCGAAGGCAAUUUGCUAGCGUGACCCUGACGCUCAUGGACGAAAGUGUGGGUAGCGAACGGGAUUAGAUACCCCGGUAGUCCACACCGUAAACGAUGGAUACUAGCUGUGUGUAGUGUCGACCCUACACGUGGCGAAGCUAACGCGUUAAGUAUCCCGCCUGGGUAGUACGGCCGCAAGGCUA
RNAcentral lists this ribosomal RNA (374 nucleotides) under uncultured organism. RNAcentral describes it as "partial 16S ribosomal RNA". It matches the Rfam family "Bacterial small subunit ribosomal RNA", at positions 527 to 896 of the family's 1533-position model. The record is from RNAcentral.